This 405-nucleotide ribosomal RNA is filed under the name uncultured bacterium. RNAcentral describes it as "partial 16S ribosomal RNA". It matches the Rfam family "Bacterial small subunit ribosomal RNA", at positions 30 to 526 of the family's 1533-position model. The record is from RNAcentral.
AUUGAACGCUGGCGGCAGGCUUAACACAUGCAAGUCGCACGAGUGGCGGACGGGUGAGUAAUGCUUGGGAAUCUCGCUUAUGGAGGGGCAUAACUACGGGCACCUGUAGCUAAUACCGCGUCCCAUAGGAUGAGCCCACGUGGGAUUCAGUAGUUGGUGAGGUAACGGCUCACCAAGCCGACGAUCUCUAGCUGGUCUGAGAGGAUGACCAGACACACUGGGACUGAGACACAGCCCAGACUCAAACGUGAGGCAGCAGUGGGGAAUAUUGCGCAAUGGGGACGACCUGACGAAGCCAUGCCGCGUGAAUGAAGAAGGCCGUCGGAUUGUAAAGUUCUUUAGGUAGCGAGGCGUUAACGACAGAAGAAGCACGAGCUAACUCCGUGCCAGCAGCUGCGGUAAUAC